This is a long non-coding RNA of Hibiscus syriacus, 1475 nucleotides long. RefSeq lists it as uncharacterized. NCBI's taxonomy places the organism in Eukaryota, Viridiplantae, Streptophyta, Magnoliopsida, Malvales, Malvaceae. The record is from RefSeq and is a predicted model, not a curated record. The transcript is spliced from 7 exons.
CCUCCACCUCCACCGCCACGGCCGCCUCUCCCUAGGGUUUUUCGGCGGGCUCUCUUCGCUACCAUAACAAUAAACAUCCACCUUCCGUUCAUCUCAAUAUUCAGCUUUAGAUUUUUGAACGGCUAAAUCAUCGAAUCCAGAAGGGAAGACCGUGUCCGAAUCGUGGUGGCCGGAGACCGAGGCACUGGAAAGUCGAGCUUGAUUGUGACGGCCGUUGCUGAGACUUUCCCGACGAAUGUGCCACGGCUGUUGCCGCCUACUCGGUUGCCGGAAGAUUUCUACCCCGACCGUGUUCCUAUAACCAUCAGAUACACCUCCGCGACCCCAGAGGAUAAAGGUAAACUAGCAGAAGAGCUGAAACGAGCCGAUGCGAUUGUGCUUACUUAUGCAUGUGAUCAGCCUGAAACCCUUAACAGAUUGAGUACUUUCUGGUUUCCGGAACUUCCGCAAUUAGAGGUGAAAGUGCCUGUCAUAGUAGUCGGCUGAAAGUUGGAUUUAAGAGAUGACUACCAGAAAGUGAGUUUUUUCAAGUGAUUUCACCGAUAAUGCAACAGUUUCGGGAGAUUGAAACUUGUAUUGAGUGUUCAGCUUUUAAACACAUUCAGUGGGCCCUUAUGACACUCCUAGACCCAGCUUAUAGUUUGGAGAACUUGAUAUACAUUGGGUAUCCCAGUGAUCCUUCAUCUGCAGCCCGUGUGACUAGGAGAAGGCACCUAGACCGAAAGAAGCAACAAUCAGAAAGAAAUGUUUUCCAGUGCUUUGUUUUCAGGCCAGCUAAUGCUGGGAAAUCUGCGUUGAUGAAUUCUUUCCUUGGCAGGGAAUAAAGAAAAUCUACUCUUGCGAGAAAUCCCUGAAGAUGGAGUUGCAAAAUUGCCGUCUACCAAAGUGUCUUUGGCUGCCUGUGACAUAGCGGUAUUUGUUCAUGACAGGUGAAACACGGGAGUAUACCCGUAUCUGAAAAUAAAUUCAAAAACAGAUUCGUGCGGGAGUAUACCCGUAUCUGGCACCCACACCUGCAUCUAGUAACAUAGGUCAGGGGCAAGUACUAUUCUGCCUUUCUUUUCUGAACAAAAUAACAUUAAAGUGCACGAUGCACUUAAAUCAUCGAUGUAGUUCGACACUUCGGCUUACUGUUCCUUGGCUGUGCUUUUGUUGGAAGAUUAAUGUGAGCCGGAAAUUAGGGAAAGGUUGGAGCUGCCGUAGCCGUCGUUGGGUUUGCAGCUUGCCGUGUAUAUGCUGCGAGGAAAAGCGCAUCCGAUUGAGGGAUGAAGACUCUCCCAUCUCUGACAAUAGACUCGGUAAUGUCAUCUUCGUAGAAACAUCCAUGCCUGACUUCUAUUAAGCUUCUGUGCCGUAAUUUCCGGCCAUACCGGAAGUCUAUACGCGUAGGAAGACGAAUGAACUGUAAAAUCUACCGUCAUUUUAAUGGCGGAAGAGUUUGACGUUUAGAAAUAUUAAGAGGAAAAAAGAUAGAU